AUGGAAUAAAUAACAACAACAACAACAUUAAAAACAUCAGUUUCUCUGGAGGUUCCACGUGGAACCUGUUCCUAAGAUUCUAGCAGGUUUUGCGUUGUUGUAUUUGGCUUUUUUCUUUUUUUUCUCCCUUUCUGGAUUUGUCCCCUGAAAA
RNAcentral lists this non-coding RNA (151 nucleotides) under Striatella unipunctata. Lineage: Eukaryota; Bacillariophyta; Striatellaphyceae; Striatellales; Striatellaceae. The record is from RNAcentral.